UGCAGUCGACGCCCCGCAGGGGAGUGGCAGACGGGUGAGUAACGCGUGGGAACGUGCCCUUCGCUUCGGAAUAGUCCCGGGAAACUGGGUUUAAUACCGAAUACGCCGUAUUGGGAAAGAUUUAUCGGCGAAGGAUCGGCCCGCGUUAGAUUAGCUAGUUGGCGGUGUAAUGGACCACCAAGGCUACGAUCUAUAGCUGGUCUGAGAGGAUGAUCAGCCACACUGGGACUGAGACACGGCCCAGACUCCUACGGGAGGCAGCAGUGGGGAAUCUUGGACAAUGGGCGCAAGCCUGAUCCAGCCAUGCCGCGUGAGUGAAGAAGGCCUUAGGGUUGUAAAACUCUUUCGCCGGAGAAGAUAAUGACGGUAUCCGGAGAAGAAGCCCCGGCUAACUUCGUGCCAGCAGCCGCGGUAAUACGAAGGGGGCUAGCGUUGUUCGGAAUUACUGGGCGUAAAGCGCACGUAGGCGGGUUUGUAAGUUGGGGGUGAAAUCCCAGGGCUCAACCCUGGAACUGCCUUCAAGACUGCAAGCCUGGAGGUCAGGAGAGGCGAGUGGAAUACCGAGUGUAGAGGUGAAAUUCGUAGAUAUUCGGUGGAACACCAGUGGCGAAGGCGACUCGCUGGACUGAUACUGACGCUGAGGUGCGAAAGCGUGGGGAGCAAACAGGAUUAGAUACCCUGAUAGUCCACGCCUUAAACGAUGAGAGCUAGUUGUCAGUAAGCAUGCUUAUUGGUGACGCAGCUAACGCAUUAAGCUCUCCGCCUGGGGGAGUACGGCCGCAGGUAAACUCAAAGAAUUGACGGGGCCGC
RNAcentral lists this ribosomal RNA (810 nucleotides) under uncultured Alphaproteobacteria bacterium. Its description in RNAcentral is "bacterial SSU rRNA". It matches the Rfam family "Bacterial small subunit ribosomal RNA", at positions 56 to 922 of the family's 1533-position model. The record is from RNAcentral. Lineage: Bacteria; Pseudomonadati; Pseudomonadota; Alphaproteobacteria.